CAGAGAGAGGGUGCAGACACAUCAGUGCAUAACUGCCUAGUUGUACAUAGAGUACAUAGUUAAUGAGAGACUGGGUUGCUUAGUCAGUUAGUCAGUGUGUAUGACUUAGGUCCUAAGUCAUUCAGUCAGCAUGCAGAGCAACAUCUACAGGCAGCAGAAUGAGCACUUUGAAGUCUUUACCACUGUCCUCUCCCCACAAGUUCACCGGGGACGAUGCCAAUUCAGACAGGCAGAGGCUGACCAGAUGGUGGUAAAGCGCAGCUACAAGCCCCACUGGCCAGAUGAGCUGGCGCUGACCCGGGGGGAGUUCAUCCUGGUUCUGUGUAAAGAUGAUGAGGCCCGGUGGUUUGGGCGGCUGCAAAACGGACAGCAGGGAUACUUCCCGGCCUCGCAUGUUGUGGAGCUGAGCCACCAGGACGAUGAGCCAGCUAAAGACGUCCACCGCUUAGCGAGACGGGGUUCAGCUCCGGCCACGUAUGCAGGUGGUACUGGCGCACUCAGGCUGCAGGCCCUCCGCAGAGCCAGCAGAGCAGCGGCAGGAGGGGGGCCGGAGGGGGCCGAGGGGGAGAGAGAGGGCCCCAUCCUGAUACUGAAGUCCCAGAUCUCUCUCCCUAACAGGCUGCCCCAGCCCCUGCCCCAACCCCAGCCACAGGCACACAGCUCCCCAAGUUUCCUCCACAGGAUCCUAUCCAAGCACCGUCGGAGGAGUGAUUGUCAUGGGUCCAGCAACACGGGCUACAUGGCCGACUAAGAUGCUACGAUGGACGGUGGUGUGUGGGGAGAGAAACAGGCACAAGAGGGGAAAGGAGGGAGGAGAGAGGAGGAGAUUGGGUAUAGCGAAAAGUGACUACAUUUUGUGCCCACCCCCAAUGGGGCCAGGUAGGGUUGCCAUAGUUACAUCACUAAUGCUAGUCUAUGACUGAACUGCUGGCUGCAUCAUUGGAGAGCUGGAGUGAGGGUAACUACUUCCCUGCCUCCUCUGUAAAGUGUUUAAGAAAUAUCAAUGGUGUACCGUAUAUACAUUUUCCGGGAUUAAGAUGUGACAUUAAGCAAGCCGUAAAUUGAAGGGUUGAAUAGGGGGAUCAGAUUUAUGACUAUAUUUUAUGAAGCUAACUGUGUUUACUUCAGCCAAAUAAUGUUCCAUGAGUCUGCUUGAGCUUUCUGUUCCAUGAGUCUGCCUGAGCUUUCUGUUCCAUGUUGUCAUCCAUAUUAGGCUGUAUUCUCUGCAACUAUGACGUUCCAGAGCAGCACUAAAUCAUUGAUAUAUUUCCUUUUGACUAUAAAUUGUUCAAUUUCAUUUGUGUUAAACCCAACAUCAGCCAAGAAUGUAUUUUUCAUAAAAAAUAAUCAAACCCGUACUUGCGGCUGAUAUCCCUUAAUUCUAGUUAGUAACAUAUUCCACUACAGCAUGUACCACGGCAAGAGUCUUCCAUUCAACGGAACUGAAAAAAGCCCUGCGAAGUGAGAGGAUGUGUGAUUGAGGCGUGUUGAAAGGCACUGCCAAAGGAAAUGGCAUCAUUAUUGUGAAGGUUGCCCAGGCAAUGGUAAAACAGCUCUCUCUCUCUGGGCUCAACACAGUCUUCAGUGGUACCUCCCAGCAUGGCCACGACUGGAGUACGCUGUAGAAUGUAUCCUUUGAAAGGGCAACGCUGUGGAAUGUAUCCUUUGGAAGGACUAAAGCUCCAACUCUCUAAUCCUAAUCCUAACCUUGACCUCUAUUAGAUUUAGACACCACAUCCACCAGCCCAGUGAUGUGUCCAUUGAUAAACUUAGAUCAGAUCUAUUCUAACAAGGACCAUAUCCCCGCCUGAUAUGUGAGAUUAUGGCACUAGCAAGCAGUAAUGCGAACUACAGGGAAUGCUGGUUAAAAAGGUAAGCGUUUAAAAAAAAACACCAAAGCCAAAAGCCGUCCUGUAAUUUAUGACUAGUUGCAUGGUCAGUCUGAACCUCUGUGUUGUUGAAGAUGGAAGCAGAAAUAGUGUCUGAACAGUUUUCCAACAUCUUGGUGUUCCUUCGCACAUCUUCCUGAUUUCUUAGUAUGUGAUAUAGGAUGUUUGAUGCUGGAGGCCUGGCCGCCACAGCCAUCUGCUGAGAAAGGCUUAGCGCCUCUGAGAGAGGAGAAGCUUUCCCCCUCUGACUGGCCUCUCCUCUCUCUACUCUCCUUCAUCCAUUCAUUCAUUCAAUCAGUGCUUUAAUUAUCUCUAAUCCAGGGUCAAACUCUGCCUCUCUCUAACUCCUGGAAUAAAGCCUUGCUAUGUGGAUUAUUGUGGUUGACAUCCAGUGGGGACAGUGACAGCUACACACAGAGUGACAGAGGCCCUACUCUCAUAGAGGCUAGAGGUCCAGAGGGCUGGUGUGUGUGUAGAGGGGGGAUGUUCACCUGCCUGACACCUGUUCUUUCCCCUCCUCACCUGUGGAGCAGCAGAUGCUAUGCAGGAGAGUGCUGAGCCCUGCCCCACCCCCAGUGAACACAGUCUGUACCCCUCAUACACUGUCUUCCAUGCCCAUUCAACCAGGAAACCUUGACUAAGCACACACACACACACACACACACACACACACACACACACACACACACACACACACACACACACACACACACACACACACACACACACACACACACACACACACACACACACACACACACACACACAAGUUACACCUCAGAUACACCCAGAAAGAAACGCAAACCACACAGACCAACCCAGUCCAAUGUAUUGUAUCGCCCCUCAUUGUGAAUCUGUUGUUUGUUGCUAAAAGUGUAGUCAGGCAGCAGGCUCCUCUAGUAUACCAGUUAGGUACCGCUGUUCAUUAGUGAGCCUGUUUAACCUCACAGCACUAACAUACACGGGGGAACUGGAGACCUAGGACCUAUUUACAGCAGAAAGGGACCAAAACACACACACACAAUUUGGUUUUCCCGCCUAAAGUGUCUCAUCCCCUCAGUGGUGCUGUGUGUUCAGCAGGACACCAACAGGGUGCCUGCCAGAUGACUGCCCUGUCAGUGCUAUAAUGGCUGCCAUCUGCUGUCUGGCAUACACAAAGGCUGGCAGUGGCAGUAUGUGUGUGUGUGUGUGUGUGUGUGUGUGUGUGUGUGUGUGUGUAGGGGAAAUACAGGAGGGGGAGGGACCCUCUCUGCAUUGAACACCAAUUCACACAGCAAAGUUUGAGCACUGUACAACAUAAUGACUUGAAACAGUAUAUAUAUAUUUGAAGUAAAACAUACUUCUCUAAAAUCAAUAAAUGCUUUACCCAUUGAUUGAUGUGCUACAGUACUACUAAAAUAGAUUCCUGUCAAUACACUGUAUAGUACACACGUCUGUAUAGUACACACGUCUGUAUAGUACACAUGUCUGUACUGAUACCCAACAGGUGCAUGUGUGGCCAAGCUAAGUCAAUAAGGAGUGCCCUGUGCAGGACCAAAACAAUACACUCAGUAAACACAAGGCUUUACAGGCUGAUGCCAACAACCAAUUAAGAGGCAGUAAGCCUUUGACAUGUCUCAAGCCAGUCCAGACCAUCUGAAAGCAACAAUAGCUCAAGUCCUGCCCAGACAAGAAACAGAUUGAUCUAGUGGAUAUUUGCGUGCGCGUUUGUCUGUACUGUUGAUGCUGCCCCAGCAGAAGGCAAGUCGCCAGGCCUUGUGCCCCUCCUCUUGGGGGCAAUUGAGUGAAUGGGUCUGUAAAAGCAACAGGCCCUGGGGACAAUAGCGCCCGGGGGCAUUAAGUCACGGGUGACUGGGCGUCUUUAGGGCCAGCAGCUGACCCUGUGGAGAGGCCUCUUGUCCUGCCGGAGGGGGACUCGUGUCACAGACCCCAGGCCAAGCUGACAGCACACCGCCACACACACACGGAAGGGGGAUUGUGUCCAUGGUGAACCCAGGCCAAGCUGACACACACCACAGGCAACAUAUACACAGAUACUGUUAAUCUACUGCCAUAAGGACCUGACAGGACUGGACAGGGAACAGAAGAGUCCUUCCACUGGAGGGAACAGGGAUA
Molecule: long non-coding RNA, 4004 nt
Organism: Oncorhynchus tshawytscha (Chinook salmon)
Lineage: Eukaryota; Metazoa; Chordata; Actinopteri; Salmoniformes; Salmonidae
Source: Ensembl